GACGAACGCUGGCGGCGUGCCUAAUACAUGCAAGUCGAGCGGACCAAAGGGAGCUUGCUCCUGGAGGUUAGCGGCGAACGGGUGAGUAACACGUGGGCAACCUGCCUGUAAGACUGGGAUAACAUCGAGAAAUCGGUGCUAAUACCGGAUAAUAAAAAGAACUGCAUGGUUCUUUUUUGAAAGAUGGUUUCGGCUAUCACUUACAGAUGGGCCCGCGGCGCAUUAGCUAGUUGGUGGGUAACGGCUCACCAAGGCGACGAUGCGUAGCCGACCUGAGAGGGUGAUCGGCCACACUGGGACUGAGACACGGCCCAGACUCCUACGGGAGGCAGCAGUAGGGAAUCUUCCGCAAUGGACGAAAGUCUGACGGAGCAACGCCGCGUGAGUGAUGAAGGUUUUCGGAUCGUAAAACUCUGUUGUUAGGGAAGAACAAGUGCCGUUCGAAAGGGCGGCACCUUGACGGUACCUAACGAGAAAGCCACGGCUAACUACGUGCCAGCAGCCGCGGU
RNAcentral lists this ribosomal RNA (509 nucleotides) under uncultured bacterium. RNAcentral's name for it is "bacterial SSU rRNA". It matches the Rfam family "Bacterial small subunit ribosomal RNA", at positions 28 to 521 of the family's 1533-position model. The record is from RNAcentral.